Molecule: small nuclear RNA, 102 nt
Organism: Nomascus leucogenys (northern white-cheeked gibbon)
Lineage: Eukaryota; Metazoa; Chordata; Mammalia; Primates; Hylobatidae
Source: Ensembl
GUGCUUGCCUCGGCAGUGCAUGUACUACAAUCGAAAUGAUACCGAGAUUAGCAUGACCCCUAUGGAAGAUGACCCCCAAUACAUGAAGCAUUCCAUAUCUUU